CCUACGGGCGGCAGCAGUCGGGAAUCUUGGGCAAUGGGCGCAAGCCUGACCCAGCGACGCCGCGUGAGGGAUGAAGGCCUUCGGGUCGUAAACCUCUGUCGGGAGGGAAGAAUGGCGGCAGGGCGAAUAGUCCUGUCGUUUGACGGUACCUCCAAAGGAAGCGCCGGCUAACUCCGUGCCAGCAGCCGCGGUAAUACGGAGGGCGCAAGCGGUGUUCGGGAGCGCGGGGCGUAACGCGCGUGUAGGCUGCGAAAUCCCGAGGCUCAACCUCGGAACGGCAUUCGAAACUGCUCGGCUCGAGUCACGGAGAGGAUGGCGGAAUUCCCGGUGUAGGGGUGAAAUCCGUAGAUAUCGGGAGGAACACCAGUGGCGAAGGCGGCCAUCUGGACGGUGACUGACGCUGAGACGCGAAAGCGUGGGGAGCAAACAGGAUUAGAUACCCCAGUAGUC
Molecule: ribosomal RNA, 450 nt
Filed under: uncultured bacterium
Lineage: Bacteria
Description: partial 16S ribosomal RNA
Rfam family: Bacterial small subunit ribosomal RNA
Source: RNAcentral